GACGAACGCUGGCGGCGUGCUUAACACAUGCAAGUCGAACGGAAAGGCCCUGCUUUUGUGGGGUGCUCGAGUGGCGAACGGGUGAGUAACACGUGAGUAACCUGCCCUUGACUUUGGGAUAACUUCAGGAAACGGGGGCUAAUACCGGAUAGGAGAUCCUGCAGCAUGGUGGGGGUUGGAAAGUUUCGGCGGUUGGGGAUGGACUCGCGGCUUAUCAGCUUGUUGGUGGGGUAGUGGCUUACCAAGGCUUUGACGGGUAGCCGGCCUGAGAGGGUGACCGGCCACAUUGGGACUGAGAUACGGCCCAGACUGCUACGGGAGGCAGCAGUGGGGAAUAUUGCACAAUGGGCGGAAGCCUGAUGCAGCAACGCCGCGUGCGGGAUGACGGCCUUCGGGUUGUAAACCGCUUUCGCCUGUGACGAAGCGUGAGUGACGGUAAUGGGUAAAGAAGCACCGGCUAACUACGUG
This 468-nucleotide ribosomal RNA is filed under the name uncultured bacterium. Its description in RNAcentral is "partial 16S ribosomal RNA". It matches the Rfam family "Bacterial small subunit ribosomal RNA", at positions 28 to 507 of the family's 1533-position model. The record is from RNAcentral.